This 504-nucleotide ribosomal RNA is filed under the name Bacillus sp. (in: firmicutes). RNAcentral describes it as "bacterial SSU rRNA". It matches the Rfam family "Bacterial small subunit ribosomal RNA", at positions 23 to 508 of the family's 1533-position model. The record is from RNAcentral. Lineage: Bacteria; Bacillati; Bacillota; Bacilli; Caryophanales; Bacillaceae.
CUCAGGAUGAACGCUGGCGGCGUGCCUAAUACAUGCAAGUCGAGCGAACUGAUUAGAAGCUUGCUUCUAUGACGUUAGCGGCGGACGGGUGAGUAACACGUGGGCAACCUGCCUGUAAGACUGGGAUAACUUCGGGAAACCGAAGCUAAUACCGGAUAGGAUCUUCUCCUUCAUGGGAGAUGAUUGAAAGAUGGUUUCGGCUAUCACUUACAGAUGGGCCCGCGGUGCAUUAGCUAGUUGGUGAGGUAACGGCUCACCAAGGCAACGAUGCAUAGCCGACCUGAGAGGGUGAUCGGCCACACUGGGACUGAGACACGGCCCAGACUCCUACGGGAGGCAGCAGUAGGGAAUCUUCCGCAAUGGACGAAAGUCUGACGGAGCAACGCCGCGUGAGUGAUGAAGGCUUUCGGGUCGUAAAACUCUGUUGUUAGGGAAGAACAAGUACGAGAGUAACUGCUCGUACCUUGACGGUACCUAACCAGAAAGCCACGGCUAACUACGUGC